RNAcentral lists this ribosomal RNA (468 nucleotides) under uncultured bacterium. Its description in RNAcentral is "partial 16S ribosomal RNA". It matches the Rfam family "Bacterial small subunit ribosomal RNA", at positions 28 to 507 of the family's 1533-position model. The record is from RNAcentral.
GACGAACGCUGGCGGCGUGCUUAACACAUGCAAGUCGAACGGAAAGGCCCUGCUUUUUUGGGGUGCUCGAGUGUCGAACGGGUGAUUAACACGUGAUUAACCUGCCCUUGACUUUGGGAUAACUUCAGGAAACUGGGGCUAAUACCGGAUAGGAGCUCCUGCUGCAUGGUGGGGGUUGGAGAGUUUCGGCGGUUGGGGAUGGACUCGCGGCUUAUCAGCUUGUUGGUGGGGUAGUGGCUUACCAAGGCUUUGACGGGUAGCCGGCCUGAGAGGGUGACCGGCAACAUUGGGACUGAGAUACGGCCAAGACUCCUACGGGAGGCAGAAGUGGGGAAUAUUGAACAAUGGGCGGAAGCCUGAUGCAGAAACGCCGCGUGCGGGAUGACGGCAUUCGGGUUGUAAACCGCUUUCGCCUGUGACGAAGCGUGAGUGACGGUAAUGGGUAAAGAAGCACCGGCUAACUACGUG